AAUAAGUGUAGUUUUACACUAUUCAUCUCCAACGAUUGACUGUUCGUCUUAUUUAAAAAAAUUUUAUGAUUAAUAUUUUUAUUGUUAUUAUAUGAUAAAAUAUGAAUGGUACUUUAUGUGUGACUAAAUUUUUUAAAAUUUUUCAUAAAUUUUUUAAAUAAGACAAACGGUCAAAAGUUGGACACGGAUUUCCACGGCUGCACUUAAU
RNAcentral lists this microRNA precursor (208 nucleotides) under Oryza glumipatula. RNAcentral's name for it is "MIR812 microRNA precursor family". It matches the Rfam family "MIR812 microRNA precursor family". Lineage: Eukaryota; Viridiplantae; Streptophyta; Magnoliopsida; Poales; Poaceae. The record is from Rfam by way of RNAcentral.